AGAGUUUGAUCAUGGCUCAGGAUGAAUGCUAGCGGCGUGGAUAAGGCAUCCAAGUCGAGUGGGUUUAGACCCACGGCAGACGAGGUAGUAAUACACAGGUACUCACCGAAAAGUUGGGGAUAUUCCAUCGAAAGAUGGCGCAAUACCCAAUAGUCCCCAAGGGGUAAAGGAGCAAUCCGCUUUUUGAGAGGCCUGUGGCGCAUCAGGUAGUUGGUAGGGUAAUGGCCUACCAAGCCGACGACGCGUAGGGGAGCUGAGAGGCUGACCCCCACCGAUGGAACUGAGACACGGUCCAUACACCUACGGGUGGCUGCAGUCAAGAACAUUUGGCAAUGGGCGCAAGCCUGACCAUGCGACGCCGCGUGGUUGAUGAAGUCCUUCGGGACGUAAAGACCUUUUAUGGGGGAAGAAGUAAUUGACAUUACCCCAAGAAUAAGGGGCUCCUAACUUUGUGCCAGCAGGAGCGGUAAUACAGAGGCCCCGAGCAUUAUCCGGAAUCACUGGGCGUAAAGGGUGUGUAGGUGGCGCUAUUAGUCCUUCGUAAAAGCCCGCGGGCUCAACCCGUGGAAUGCGGAGGAAACGGUAGUGCUUGAGGGCGCGAGAGGUAAAGGGAACUCAUGGUGUAGGGGUGAAAUCCGUUGAUAUCAUGGGGAACACCAAAUGCGAAGGCACUUUACUGGCGCGUUUCUGACACUGAAACACGAAAGCGUGGGUAGCGAACGGGAUUAGAUACCCCGGUAGUCCACGCCCUAAACGAUGACAACUGGCUUUAAGGAGUAUCGACCCUCUUUGAGGCGAAGCUAGCGCGUUAAGUUGUCCGCCUGGGUAGUACGAUCGCAAGAUUAAAACUCAAAGGAAUAGACGGGGACUUGCACAAGCGGUGGAUGAUGCGGCUCAAUUCGAUGACAAACGAAGAACCUCACCAGGGUUUGAAACCCAACUGACCGCCUUAGGAAACUUUGGCUUUCGCAAGACAGUUGGGCAGGUGAUGCAUGGUCGUCGUCAGUUCGUGGCUUGAGUUGUUCCCUUCAGUGGGGUAACGAACGCAACCCUCGUUGCCUGUUUUAUAUGUCAGGCGAGACUGCCCCCUCACGGGGGAGGAAGGUGAGGAUGACGCCAGAUCAGCAUGUCCCUCUGAUAUCCUGGGCUGCACGCAUCAUACAAUGGUCAAGACAACGGGUCGCGACGGGGUAACCCUGAGCUAAUCCUUAUAAACUUGGCCCCAGUUCGGAUUGAGGUCUGCAACUCGACCUCAUGAAGCCGGAAUCGCUAGUAAUCGCGGGUCAGCUAUACCGCGGUGAAUACGUUCUCAAGUCUUGUACUCACCGCCCGUUAACUCAAGGGAGCCGGGAGUACCUGAAGCAUCUAGCAAUAGGUGUCACGGUAAAUUCGGUGACAGGGAGUAAGUCGUAACAAGGUAACC
This 1423-nucleotide ribosomal RNA is filed under the name uncultured bacterium. RNAcentral's name for it is "bacterial SSU rRNA". It matches the Rfam family "Bacterial small subunit ribosomal RNA". The record is from RNAcentral.